GUGAUCACUCAACAACACAUAUACUAAAAUUGGAACGAUACAGAGAAGAUUAGCAUGGCCCCUGUUCAUGGAUGACACACAAAUUUGUGAAGCACCCCAUAUUUUU
Apodemus sylvaticus (European woodmouse) is the source of this 106-nucleotide small nuclear RNA. Lineage: Eukaryota; Metazoa; Chordata; Mammalia; Rodentia; Muridae. The record is from RefSeq and is a predicted model, not a curated record.